RNAcentral lists this small nuclear RNA (95 nucleotides) under Caenorhabditis brenneri. RNAcentral describes it as "snRNA CBN34302". Lineage: Eukaryota; Metazoa; Nematoda; Chromadorea; Rhabditida; Rhabditidae. The record is from RNAcentral.
GGUUCAAUUACCCCAGUUUGAGGUAAGCUCGGCGGUGGGUUGGAAUAAAUGGGAUGAAAAUUACAUAUUUUUGAUCCUCCCAUCGAGGGGAGUAA